UACGUAGGGACCAAGCGUUGUUCGGAUUUACUGGGCGUAAAGGGCGCGUAGGCGGCUUGACAAGUCACUUGUGAAAUCUCUGGGCUUAACCCAGAACGGCCAAGUGAAACUGUCGAGCUAGAGUGUGGAAGGGGCAAUCGGAAUUCUUGGUGUAGCGGUGAAAUGCGUAGAUAUCAAGAGGAACACCUGAGGUGAAGACGGGUUGCUGGUCUAACACUGACGCUGAGGCGCGAAAGCCAGGGGAGCAAACGGG
RNAcentral lists this ribosomal RNA (253 nucleotides) under uncultured bacterium. RNAcentral's name for it is "partial 16S ribosomal RNA". It matches the Rfam family "Bacterial small subunit ribosomal RNA", at positions 524 to 776 of the family's 1533-position model. The record is from RNAcentral.